This 323-nucleotide ribosomal RNA is filed under the name Thalassana ephialtes. RNAcentral describes it as "partial small subunit ribosomal RNA". The record is from RNAcentral. Lineage: Eukaryota; Metazoa; Arthropoda; Insecta; Hemiptera; Issidae.
UUUUUCUGGGGAUUAGAGUUUAUAUUUGAAAUUCAAUGGAUCUGGCGGUUUUUAAAUCUUUUUAGAGGAACCUGUAAUUUAAAUGAUAGUCCACGAUUUUUUUUACCUUUUUUUUUCUUGUAUAUCUCUGUCGUUGAAUGUAAUGAUAAUUUAUUUUCCUAAUUUUUUUAUUAAAUUUAUGUUAGGUCAAGGUGCAGUUAUAAAGGGGUUAUUAUGGGUUACAUUAAUAUUUGUUUGUUGAUUUUUUUUUUUAAAAAAUUAUGAAUUUGGAUUUAAAAGUAAUUUUGUUUUUUAAAUUUUUUGAAUUUUGCUCUUGAUUAUGU